Molecule: ribosomal RNA, 253 nt
Filed under: uncultured bacterium
Lineage: Bacteria
Description: partial 16S ribosomal RNA
Rfam family: Bacterial small subunit ribosomal RNA
Source: RNAcentral
UACGAAGGGGGCUAGCGUUGCUCGGAAUGACUGGGCGUAAAGGGCGCGUAGGCGGAUGGCUUUGUCGGGCGUGAAAUUCCAGGGCUUAACCUUGGGGCUGCGUUCGAGACGGGUUGUCUAGAGUUUGGAAGAGGGUCGUGGAAUUCCCAGUGUAGAGGUGAAAUUCGUAGAUAUUGGGAAGAACACCGGUGGCGAAGGCGGCGACCUGGUCCUUGACUGACGCUGAUGCGCGAAAGCGUGGGGAGCAAACAGG